This is a long non-coding RNA of Gossypium arboreum, 1135 nucleotides long. RefSeq lists it as uncharacterized. Lineage: Eukaryota; Viridiplantae; Streptophyta; Magnoliopsida; Malvales; Malvaceae. The transcript has 3 exons. The record is from RefSeq and is a predicted model, not a curated record.
UUAAAACCAACAUUAAAUAAAGUGUUCAGUACCGAUAAGCCAAUAAAAUACAAAUAAAAGCAAAACCAUAAAACAUUAAAACCAUUAACAUAAAACCACGAAAAGAAACCCAACGAUUUCCUAUGCACACCAGCUCAGAGACCCUUCAUUUCUGAUCCCAAAUCUCCAGUGAAGGUUCAAAAAUGAAGAAUGUCCAUGAAAUUGCUGCUUAGAUUCACAAGUACAGCUUUCUCAUACCACGAAGAGGUUACGAAUCGGCGCGAUUGAUCCUCAUUUCCUCCAUCGCCACUGUUUCCCGUAUCAUCGUUGGGCCCUCUUCCGCCCAUUGCAUGUCACGUUUCCGGCGAAAGUCUUCCUUGGCUAAUAUGUGAGCAACUCGAUUCCCUCCCCUUUUUAUAUGCUAAAAUUUAAACUUCUCAAAACCCAUAAGUAACUACUUGGCUUCCCCUGUAUAUAUAUGCUAACCUCCGAUCUAUCCAAAUGUUGCGCCUUUAUUUUUGAGAUGACCACCAUUGAAUCCCCGUGACUUUACGAAAACCCAUGUCCUGGGCAAAACGAACAGCUUGAACUGCAGCCAAAGCCUCCGCCGCUUCAGGUCACUGCAAAAACCCUCGUCAAAGUUGGCCUUAACCCAUCGGGUCUUUGGAGGGGUCCAUCGCACAGGCUGAUCUUGGCUAGCCUUUGGUGCAAAUAUGUUUUUUAGACUUUAGGUUAGGGAUGAAGGGAAAAGGCACAACCAGCAUAUUCCAAGAAUUUGAUAGAGUUUUGAAAGGAUAUAAGUUUUGAGAGGAUGAUAGACUUUAGGCCUCUUCAGUUUUCUUUCUAAAUUUUCUGUCAUUUGAUUUCUUUUUUUCUUUAUAUUUUCAUUUUUAUUUUCCUUUACUCCUAGCCAAAACCAAGACACUGUCUAGGCUAUCAAUAGUAGGACAGCUGCCAUGCAUUUACACCUAGCUAGCAUAUUUCUUUUUUAUUUUCCUUUACAGGUAGUAAGACAAGCAGGACAACUGUUAGGAAUUAAGAUCAAUUUAUUCCUAAUCACUCUUUAAUGGGAGUAAUGUAUGACUUAAUAUGCAAUAGGUACUUGAAAUUAAAGCUCAUAAAUGAAAUUCAUUAUACUGGUUAAAUAUAUAUAUAA